This 399-nucleotide RNase P RNA is filed under the name Algoriphagus yeomjeoni. Its description in RNAcentral is "Bacterial RNase P class A". It matches the Rfam family "Bacterial RNase P class A". From Rfam's summary of the family: Ribonuclease P (RNase P) is a ubiquitous endoribonuclease, found in archaea, bacteria and eukarya as well as chloroplasts and mitochondria. Its best characterised activity is the generation of mature 5'-ends of tRNAs by cleaving the 5'-leader elements of precursor-tRNAs. Cellular RNase Ps are ribonucleoproteins. The record is from RNAcentral. Lineage: Bacteria; Pseudomonadati; Bacteroidota; Cytophagia; Cytophagales; Cyclobacteriaceae.
CGUGCAAGUCGUCUUGUCGUCCCGAUAGCUAUCGGGAAGGAAAGUCCGGGCAACAUAGAGCGCCAUACUUCCUAACGGGAAGGGGGCUGACUGGUGACGGUCAGUUUACAGCUAGUGCAACAGAGAAUAUACCGUCCCGAUAGCUAUCGGGAUAAGGGUGAAAAGGUGGGGUAAGAGCCCACCGCUUCGAUGGUGACAUCGGGGGCAUGGCAAACCUUAUGGGUUGAAAGAUCAAAUAGGUUCCGCGCCGGAUUCAGUUCCGGGAAAAGUUGCUCGCUUUUAUGCGGAAUGGGUAGAUCGAUGGACCCCGAUUGCGAAGUCGGGGCUAGAUAAAUGGCAAGAAACUGACUCUGAAAAUAGAGGAGGAAACAGAACCCGGCUUAUAGACUUGCACUUUUU